Molecule: long non-coding RNA, 8209 nt
Organism: Marmota monax (woodchuck)
Lineage: Eukaryota; Metazoa; Chordata; Mammalia; Rodentia; Sciuridae
Exons: 2
Source: RefSeq, a predicted model, not a curated record
UGUGCAUUUCUCGUCUUCUCUGUCAGACUUGGCAGAGCCCUAUCCCCUUUUAACCGACGCUGCCUGUGCCGGGAGCGAUGGGACCUGGUAGGGUCAGAGGGUGAUUAAGAGCACCCCUUGCUCCAGGACUCCCAGGGAAACUGCACGGGUGAUGAGGUUCAGUAUAGGUGCCCCACAGUGCCACGAGCCCACGCCCGGGGUCCCAGCUACUUAGAGGCCGAGGCAGGAAGGUCUCAACUUCGAGGUCAGCCUGGGUGAUAUAAAGAGACCCUGUUUCAAAAUAAAAAGGACUGAGGAGGUAGCUCAGUGACACACACAAAACUUAGGGAAGCACAGCUGAGAACAAGAUUUUUUUUUUUUUUCUGGAGGAGUUGGGAAGAUAGCAAAAACGACAUUUAGGCUAGACCUUGAUUUGAGUAGCAGUUCAGAUAAGGGUAAAUGUGGAUUUGUUUGUGGUUUUUGUUUUGUUUUGGGGUUUUGCUGUUUUUUUUUUUUGUUUGUUUGUUUGUUUUUUGUUGUUGUUGCUUUGCCUGGGACGGAAUCCAGAGCCUGUGGCAUGCUAUGGAGUGCUCUACCACUGAGAUACAUUCCCAGCCCAAGGAUAGGUCUUUAUUCAACAUUGUAUCACACAAGGUGAGGCAAGGCAAUUCUAAUAGAAGCCUAAAAUUAUCAUGCUUACCCAGGGCUCCCAGGAUCUGCUACUGGCCAGUAACCCCCUUCUUCCCGCUGUCUGGACUGUUACUCUUACCUGAGUGGUGCUCCAUGCUGUAGACCUUGAUCUUAUUCACAGAGGGACACAAACACAGCCACGCUGGUGGAGGCACACAGCUUGUUCCAGGUUGGUCUUGAAUGGCUUAGGCGCUGUGCCCCGUGGAGGGCAGGGCCUGUCUGCAUGGGAAAGCCCUCCUCAGGUGUGGUGCAGAUGGCGCUCUCCUGGGCAGGCAUUCAUCUUCCUCUUCUUUGCCCCUUGCAGUCCUGGGAUUUAGCCCCAGGCUUCACAGGUGCUGGCAAUGCCCACCACAGAGCUGCAGCCCAGCCGUGUCUCCCUGUGGUCUGUUCUCAGUGUUCUCUCAAACCUCAGGUGUGUGAUUCCUUCCAUGGGCUCUGAACAUGGAGACGAGCCAACUGGCUGCUUCUGGUAAGACCUCCUGAAGUCACCCUUCCACGGUGCUUUUACUCUAACCACAUCGACGUCCAACCUGGAAGUUCAAGAAGCAGGUGACAGGGUGUGCUUGUCGGUGGUGACCUGCCUCUGAAACUUGACUGACAGCAACUGAUCUCUGGUGAUAUGAUGGCACUGCUGCAGCACAUGCUCUGUGCUUGUUAGUGAAGAAAGAGGCAGUACAAUGGAAGUUGGAAGCCACAGGUCAUCUGGUCCACGCGGCUGGGACUUCGAACUGCGGUAACAAGCCCAGACUCCCCUCAGAGGACAGCGGCUGGUGGGCCUCUGAAGAAGAAGCUGCCUGAGGAAGAUACCUGGAGGCCUCACUCGGGUGUGGAGUCCGAGGCCAUCACUGAAGGUCAGGUGCCCAGAGGAAGCCAGUGCUGGGAGUCCUGUGGGAAAGAAUGACCGAGGACUACCUCGGGGACUGACUAGCUGGAGGGCAGAGAGCAGAGGGCCAGUGUGAAAGUCCUUGUGGAGUGUCUAGUGGGGCUGAUGGGGACGGGGCCCCCAGGGGCCUCACAGACACGCGGCAGGGUUUUGGCCAGCUUUGCCCUGAGCCUGGGCUCUUCCCACCUCCCUCACCCCUCAGCACAGCGGAGCUCAUCUCCGAGGAGUGGAGUCUGUGGUGAACUCUCUCCUCUCCACAUUUCCUUUGGGGUGGUUUCUAGUGCUUUCUCAUCAGAUUUGCUAAUAUACUAUUACUUUUGGGGGAAGCAGGGAUUGGGCCUGAUGUGGUGGUGCACUCCUGCAAUCCCAAUGGUUCAGGAGGCUGAGGCAGAAGGAUCACACUUUCAAAGCCACCCUUAGGAACUUAGUGAGACCCCAAGAUGCUUAACAAGACCUGCCGAGUUUCUCGCGACUAAAAUACUCAGGGGUCACUCCAGGGGAGUUGGGCUAACUGGGCUGUGCAAAAUAACCACACAAGAGACAGAGAUACCUUUUUCUUUUGGGAGUGCUGUGACGGCUCCUCUGAUUUUAGGGUCCGAAGAGAGAGAGAGAGAGCGAGCACGUGCUGACCCCUUUUAUUGAGGAGAAGCUAUUCAAAUGAGGCAAGGGGUCAGGUCAGGGGGCUGAGUCCAGCUUUAUGAUGUCUGCUGUCAGCAGGUUGACUGACAUCUAGGUAGGCCACACCCAAGGGCACAGUAAGAGAAAGGAACACACAAAAGGUGUUUCCAUGGAAGAUUCUAUCCCAAACAGGGCAAGGGGUAAUAUUACAAAGGAACAGGUGAGUGUAACUCCAUCCAUGGGGCUGUAGGAAGCCACACCCAUGCACGAGACACCAUCCCUGGAACCCAAGAAGCACUGGCUUCCUCUGAGCACCUGUCCUUCAGUGAUGGCCUCAGACUCCACACCCAGCCAGGGAGUGUGACUCAGUCAUGUGCAAGGUUGGUCUCCCACAAAGACCCUUUCUCAAAAAAUGAAAAGGCCUGGGGAUGUGCCUCAAUGGUUAAUCACCUCUGGGUUCAAUCCCAGGUAGCAAAAAAAAAAAAAAAAAAAAAAUAUAUUAAGUAAGGAAUGAUGUUUGAGAAAUAAUUUUAUGAGUAAUUGAUUUCUUGGUAAACAUGUUAGGAUAACUUUCACUGCUUAUUGAAAUCUUGGAACUGUUGGAACUUAGCCAAUGAGACCCUGACUAAUAAGGAUCGCUGUAGGCAUUCAUAGGGCACUAUUUGAGCUAAUGCUACUUAGCCUUUGUUCCUGGCAGAGUAGAGUUGGUCACUUAAUCCUAUGUGUUGCUGCUGUGUGUUGUGAUGCCGUAUCACUCUGCACUACAGUUGUCUAGGUGUCUUCCCUGAGGUUCUGUGGCUCCUAAAAGGUUGAAAUGGUUUCUAAUUCAUCUUUAUACUCCCGAUACAUGCCUUCCAUGUGGUGAACCUUCAAACAUGUUAGAUGAGUCAAUGAAGGAGGAAUGGAGGGACAGAUCAGGUCCUCAUAUUUUUCUUGUUAUCUUUACUUAUCUGAGAACAUCUACUUAGGCUUUCUUCUAGGCUCUGAAACAAUUUUGUUUUGUGUUUUUUAUUUACAAAAAAUGUACUGAGAGGGGCUGGGGCUGUGGCUCAGUGGCAGAGCCUUGCCUGGCAUGUGUGAGGCACUGAGUUCGAUCCUCAGCAUUGCAUAUAAAUAAAUUUUAAAAAUAAAGGUACAUUAACAACUAAAAAUUAUUUUUAAAAAUGUUCUGAGAGCUGGGCAUGGUGGCACAUGCCUAUAAUACCAGCAACUCAGAAGACUGAGGCAGGAGGAUCACAAGUUCAAAGCCAGCCUUGGCAAUUUAGUGAGACCUUAAACAGUUUAACAAGACCCUUUCUCAAAACAAAAAAUAAAAAGGCUGGAGAUGUCAUUCAGUGGUUAAGCACUGCUGGAUUCAAUCCCCAGUACAAAUAACUAUACUGAUAUGGGAUAUCUUCGAAGAUGGAGUGAUUUUUUUUCUUUCUUCCUCCUGCUGGCUCAGGCUGACUCCCCUGAGCACUGGUUUUUCUUAGGAGAAGGAAAUAUACACACACGUGUGUGUGUGUGUGUGUGUGUGUGUGUGUGUGUGUGGUUGGUGUUACCUGCAUACACAGACUUUUUUCUUCCUUUUCUUUUUUUUUAAAUUGUACUAGAGAUCGAACUCAGGGUACUAUCUACCCUUAAGCUGUGUUCCCAAUCUUUUCUUCUUCUUCUUCUUCUUUUUUUUUUUUUUUUAUAAUUUUUGAGACAAGUUCUUACUAAGUUGCUGAGGCUAGCCUCACACUUGAGAUCCUCUAACUCAGCUUCCCAAGUCACUGGGAUUACAGGUGUGUGCCACCAUGCCUUGCUUUAUUUUUCCAGUUUUUUUUUUGGUGGGCGGGGGGAGUACCAGGGAUUGAACUCAGGGGCACUUGACCACUGAGCCACAUCCCCAGCCUUAUUUUUGUAUUUGAUUUAGAGACAGGGUCUCACUGAAUUGCUUAGCACCUUGCUUUUGCUGAGGCUGGCUUUGAACUCAUGAUCCUCCUGCCUCAGCCUCCUGAGCCACUGGGAUUAUAGGCAUGUACUAGUGUACCCACCUAUUUUUCCAAUUUUAAUGAUCAAAAUCUUCAUUUAGAAUUUAAAUUCCUUGAUAGCAAUAACAGAAGAAGAAAAGUAAUUUCAGAAAAGUUUGCAGAUAAGAUUAUUUCUAAUCUGUUUGUAUUUUGAGGAAAAAUAACAGCACACUGGAAAGAAGGAAGAAGUGACAGUGAGUCACUCGGAGCCCAAUUCCAGGAUUUCCAUCCCUCACACAUACCUGGGGUUACAGGUGUGUGCCACUUUGCUUGGCUUUAUUUUUCCAAUUUUUUUGUUUGGGGGGAUACCAGGUGCCGCAGUCUGGCUGGGCACAAAAUCACGAGCCACCACACACCUUGUAGAUUCAAACAGCAACUCUUUAUUCUCAAACUGUCACUGGCACUUACACACACACACACACACGUUCUGGGCCCAAUCCACGUUUUGGAUCCCAAAUACUCUCUGAAUCCCAUGAGAACUCAACGGGAACUCAAGGAGCUGGUAAGCCUGAGGCAGCAGGAUACGCCCUAUUCCCAACAGGGUACACCUUAAACCUGGAACCGCCCUAAAUCCAAGGAGAGCCCUAAACCUGGAUCCGCCCUAAAUCCAAGGAGAGCCCUAAACCUGGAUCCGCCCUGGUCCUUGAGCAAGGUCACCUUACAUGCAAUGUCACUGCAAAUGACCUGGGUCAAUAUGGAGAGUCCUUCCUCUAAGCAACAUUGGGUAGGCUGACAAAGAAAUUGCCAUGUGUCAUUCCUACUUGGCAAUGGCUCUCAGCAUCUCCCCCCUUCUGAUUAAUUAAACAACAAGCAAUGUGGCUUAAGGACCGUGCCUGGUAGGUUGUCCAAUUCAACAUGUGGUUCUUACCCGUCAUGGGAAAAACUGACCUCUAGGCGUCAGCCUCCUGUCUUAGGUUGAUACCACUGCAAUUGGAUCAUACCCGUCACUGACUACCGGUCCAGCAUAUAGCCAUACUUGUGGAUAGGCCUAUGCACCAGUGGGGGGGUGAGGUUCUUGCCUCACCUCUGUUGGCCCCCAAAUUUGGCCUUGGUGCCAGUGGGGGGGUGAAGUUCUUGCCUCACCUCUGUUGGCCCCCAAAUUUUAGACCAUUACUAGCAGAAGGGAGGAUACACAAAUGCCACGACACCAAGCCAAUUGACGGCUCCUUUGGAAAAAUUGCAUCACUGGUGACACCAUCAGCAAAGAUAUGCCAGCACUACCACAAUUCGCUGCACCAAAUGAUAGUUCACAAUGCAUACAAGUGAUACAUAGUCCAGGCAAGUUCUGCAAGCAGUUCAAAGCAGAAGAGUCUAUCAAUAUGUCCAUUUCCUCCCAAAGUAAAUCGAGUCCUUGAUUGAGCAUUACUUGUUGAGUUAUAUUCAUUGAUGCAUCAGUUUAUACAGUUUACUGUUAUAGCUAUCAUAGAAGCUGUAGUUUGGCUUUAUCUUAAGUCUUCACCGGCACUGGGAUGGAGAUGGGAAUUCUGGCAAAGAUGCUAAAGAGACAUUAUCCUGAACAGAAUUAUUAAAUAUAAUGAAAAGGAAAGGUGAAAGUAAACAAACAGAUCUGUUAACCUCCUUUAAAAACAAUCCUUAAUAGCUGUUUACCUAAUUUAAAUUAAACCAUUUAAAUCACGUGAAUGAAAAAAAAUAAUUCGGAUCCAUUUUUUCAUGAGCGCUCCUCAUAUAUGAUCUAUAGACAUACGCACAUACAGACAUAACAACACAAAACACAAAUGUGCACACAAAUGUACAACACAUAAGACAAUAGUAAAGGCCUUGUAGCUUUACCUAGGUGAAAUCUCCAUUGCAAUUUUUAAAAAAUCCAGUGAAAAAAUAAAACUGAUCAGAAAAACAUUAACCUAGGUUUGUAUGAGCUCAAAAAAAAAAAAAAUAGAACUUUAUGAUGUGGGAAAAUGCAAUAAUAAAAUAGAUAUUGAAAAAAGCACCCUGGUUAAUCACUGUCGCAGAUGUAAGAAUAGCCAAGCUGGAGCCCUGGAUAUCAGCUGUUAUGGAUUUGAGUCUAAGCAUCUUCUUUUUGGUCUGUAGAAAUUGCUUUAGUUAAUCUCUCUGGAAUCCAAAUCGGCUGCUGUUCUGUCUGUGGAAAAACACAAACAGAACCCCGACUCCAGACAAUCACUGGGUCGGGACCUUUCCAUUGUCCUGUUAGAAUAUCUUUCCAAAGUACCUUAGGCUUAUGUACAUUUUUUGGAUACAUAUGCCUUUCCGCAGCACUAAGUCCUGAUGAAUCCAAAUUUUAAAAGUUUAGAGUAAAAAGCGUUAUUUUAAGUUUAUCUUUGGGGGAUGUAUACCCUUUUCCAAUUCCCUCUUUUUGCUUUAAUAAGUACAUUUUAAUAGUUUGAUGAGCUCUUUCAACUAUGCCUUGUCCCUGUGGAUUGUAUGGGAUUCCUGUUAUAUGAGUAUUACCAAAUGAUGAGCAAAAUUGUUUAAAAGAGGUAGAGGUAUAACCAGGACCAUUAUCUGUUUUUAACUGUUUAGGAACGCCCACAGUGGCAAAAUUUUGUAAGCAAUGAGCUAUAACAUCUUUAGUUUUUUCUCCAGCAUGAAGGGAGCCCAUCAAAAAUCCGGAAGAAGUAUCAACUGUAACAUGUAAAUAUUUUAAUUUUCCAAAUUCUGGCAAGUGUGUGACGUCCAUCUGCCAAAUAUGGUUAGGUAUCAGUCCUCUAGGAUUGACUCCAAGAUUAACUUGUGGUAAAAAGGUCACACAAUUUUGACAUUGUUUUAUUAUAUGUCUGGCUUGUUCCUUACUUAUUUUAAAACGCUUUUGUAAAGUAUUAGCAUUAACAUGGAAUCUUUUAUGAAAAUUUGUAGCCUCUUCUAGUGUAGAGAAAAUAUGUAUGUCAUGUGUAGUUUUAUCUGCUAAAUCAUUGCCCAAACUAAGGGCUCCAGGCAAUCCUGUAUGUGCCCUGAUAUGUCCUAUAAAGAAUGGAUCUUUUCUGUCCCAGAUUAGACUUUGUAUAGUGGAAAACAAAGAGAAAACAGUAGAGGAAGGGGAAAUCCUACCAGCAUCUUCAAGGGAUACAACAGCAUUAACUAUAUAUUGACUAUCAGAAAAUAAAUUAAAUACAGAAUCUUUAAACAUCACAAAAGCUUGUAAAACUGCAUUAAGCUCUACCUUUUGAGCUGAUUGUUUGGGUACUAAAAAUGUAAAAGUUUGAUCAGGGGUAACUACUGCUGCUGUACCAUUAUUAGACCCAUCAGUGAAUAUAUUUGGAGCAUUCAUGAUAGGUGUUUUUCUUGUCAUUUUAGGAAAAACUACAGGAUGCUUAGACCAAAAAGACAAUAAAGAAUUAGAUGGUAAAUGAUUAUCAAAUGAAAUAUUAGAUUUACACAUGAUUAUUGCCCAAGUAUUUAACUCAUUAGCUAACUCAUGAAUUUGAUCCAUAGUAUAUGGAGUAAUAAUUUUAUUGGGAGAAAUUCCAAACACUCCCUUUGCUGCUUUUAUUCCUUUGAGUAUUAAUUGUCCUACAGCCUCAGGAUACCUAGUAAGAAUAGUGUUAGGAGAAUAAGAUAAAUGUAUCCACAAUAAUGGACCUUCUUGCCAAAAUACUCCUGUAGGAAUAUUUCUUGUUGGUAGUACAAUAAAUAAUAAAGGCAAACUUAUAUCAAUUCUAUCCAAAUGCAUAUUUUCCAUAUGUGUUUCAAUAAUUUUUAAUGCCUUUCUUGCUUUAGGAGUUAACAUUCGGGGUGAAUUUGGAUCUGAUGGACCUUUUAGAAUAUCAAAUAAAGGUCCCAACUCUCCUGCUGGUAUGCCUAGAUAAGACUUUAUCCAAUUUAUGUCUCCCAAUAACUUUUGAAUGUUGUUAAGUGAUUUGAGUUGAUCUACUUGUAUUUGAAUUUUUGAUGGACGGACCAUGGUUGAGGAUAAUAGAACUCCUAAAUAAUUAAUUGGAAAAUUUAAUUGUACUUUAUCUAUUCCUAUCUCUAGAUUAUAAUUUUUUAAUAAGUUUGUAAGUGUGGCAUAACAUUCCAGCAAUGUGUUUUUAUCUUUAUGUGCUAAUAAUACAUCAUCCAUAUAGUGAAA